GUUGAACGCUGGCGGCGUGCUUAACACAUGCAAGUCGAGCGGUGGAAGGUAACUUUCUACCUUACCUUGCGACGGACGGGUGAGUAAUGCUUAGGAAGCUACCUUAUAGUUAGGGCCGACAUCUCGAAGGGGAUGCGAAUCCCGCAUACGUCCUACUUUAGAAAGCAAUGGAUCAUCGGACCUUGCGCGAAUAGAUGAGACUAAUUCGGGUUUGCUAGUUGGUGGGGUAAGUGCCUAACCAGGCGACGAUCUGUAGCAAGUCUGAGAGGAUGAUCCGCCAAAAUGGGAAUGAGAAAAGGCUCAGACUCCUACGGGAGGCAGCAGUGGGGAAUAUUGGACCAUGGGGGGAAACCUGAUCGAGCCAUGCCGCGUGUGUGAAGAAGGCCUUAUGGUUGUAAAGAACCUUAAGCGAGGAGGAGGCUAAUUUGGUUAAUACCUAGAGCAACUGGACGUUACCUGAAGAAUAAGCACCGGCUAACUAUGUG
RNAcentral lists this ribosomal RNA (485 nucleotides) under uncultured bacterium. RNAcentral describes it as "partial 16S ribosomal RNA". It matches the Rfam family "Bacterial small subunit ribosomal RNA", at positions 28 to 507 of the family's 1533-position model. The record is from RNAcentral.